Molecule: long non-coding RNA, 1567 nt
Organism: Equus caballus (horse)
Lineage: Eukaryota; Metazoa; Chordata; Mammalia; Perissodactyla; Equidae
Source: RefSeq, a predicted model, not a curated record
UGUACCUCCAACAGUGAGACUCAGGCUGUGUGACAGAUGGUAGAAAGAAAUAUUUACACGAAGGCUGUGGCUGGGAGGGCAGACACGCUCACUGUUGCCGUAGGUGAACUUGUGUUGCUGCCUGUUGGACACGCAGGCACAACGUGGCGAAGCCUCCAUGAGUCCUGACGUGUCUUCCUCACAGCAAACAGCCGCCACCUUUAGUUACUCCUUGGGGACCACGAUUUUUCUCAGCCAGCCUCCUUCACGAUCUCCUCCAAAGUGCGCUUGGCUCUCCCGGGAGAAUCGCAGCUGAGAAUGACAGCUGGACAGUUGCACCCGGCUCACCAGCUUCGCACACAGCUUGCUUUCAAGGAAGUGGGGCAGCAAACUGGCAGACCCCCGGAAAGACUCAGUUUCCCCACCUUGACUGCAUUUAGGGGUGGCUGUGCGACUGAGUUCUGGCCAAUGAAGUGUGAGUGGGAGAGGCCACUCACUAGUUAGAAACGAGUCAACAUCACUGGGUACAAGAUGUUCUGACCAAAUUCCAACUUCCAGUUGGACGUUCCCAGCCCUUCUCGAGGGCUGUCUGGUAAUUUUCUAAUCCUGCCUGGGACAUUCCUGUUUCCUGCUGAGAAAUAAGAAAACAACAAUGCUUCCCUAAGGGUGGUCUGCUUCAGCCCUGGGCCCUGGGAUCUCCAUUUUAGGGAAAGUGUUUACAAGGGUAUAAAGCUCUGAAAGGAAGCGGGCCUGUGAGUCUUCUGGGAAAGAACAUGGGCCCCCGCCAUAAGGAUUUGCCGCAGAAUUCUGCUGCAUUCCUCAGCGGGACAGACUGUCUAGGAAGUUCACUUUGAUUAAAAUAUAGCUACAUGUAAGUGUGUGUGAGUGGGUGUGUGAAACAGAUCUGAGAAAAAGGCAGGCAAAAGUAAAGGGAGUGAGGGAGAUAAGGAGAGAGGUCACAGGCAGAUAGUUCUCUCUCGGUGCAUAAAGAUUUCUUCGGUGCACUUGAAUUUUUUUUAUUAUGGAAAUAUUCAAACAUACACAAAAAUAGAGAAAAUAGUGUAGUGAACCACCACGUACCCAUCAUCCAACUUCAACAACUAUCAACAUUUUGUCAAUCUUUUUUACCUAUCUGCUCCUCUCCUUUUUUUUGCUCUAGAACUGGGAAUUGGCAAACUAGCACCCACUGGGCCAAAUCCAGCUUGCCUCCUGUUUUUGUAAAUAAAGUUUUAUUGGAACACAGCCGCAACUAUUCCUUUAUGUGUUAUCCACACCUGCUUUCACAUCACACCAGCAAGGCUGAGUAGUUGGACAGACAUUGUAUAGCCCAGGAAGCCUAAAAUAUUUCUAUGUGAACUUUUAGAGAAAAAGCUUAUACUGGGCAUCAUACCAUUUCACUCAUAAAUGUUUCAAUAUGAGUCUCUAGCAGAUAAUGUAACUGUGGGCCUCCAGGACCAGUGCAACUGACCUCGUCUCUUACCACCAGAGUGAUUAAGAACUGCCUUUCAGAAAGUGUGCAAAGUCACAUAGCCAGGGCACGUGCAAAAGAAGAAAUCGUGACCUGAAACGACUUCAGAACCAAAGAUCC